UAGGGAAUCUUCCACAAUGGACGAAAGUCUGAUGGAGCAACGCCGCGUGAGUGAUGAAGGGUUUCGGCUCGUAAAACUCUGUUGUUGGAGAAGAACAGGUGAUAGAGUAACUGUUAUCAUCUUGACGGUAUCCAACCAGAAAGCCACGGCUAACUACGUGCCAGCAGCCGCGGUAAUACGUAGGUGGCAAGCGUUGUCCGGAUUUAUUGGGCGUAAAGCGAGCGCAGGCGGUUUUUUAGGUCUGAUGUGAAAGCCUUCGGCUUAACCGGAGAAGGGCAUCGGAAACCGGGAGACUUGAGUGCAGAAGAGGACAGUGGAACUCCAUGUGUAGCGGCGAAAUGCGUAGAUAUAUGGAAGAACACCAGUGGCGAAGGCGGCUGUCUGGUCUGUAACUGACGCUGAGGCUCGAAAGCAUGGGUAGCGAACAGGAUUAGAUACCCUGGUAGUCCAUGCCGUAAACGAUGAGUGCUAAGUGUUGGAGGGUUUCCGCCCUUCAGUGCUGCAGCUAACGCAUUAAGCACUCCGCCUGGGGGAGUACGACCGCAAGGUUGAAAC
This 555-nucleotide ribosomal RNA is filed under the name uncultured bacterium. Its description in RNAcentral is "partial 16S ribosomal RNA". It matches the Rfam family "Bacterial small subunit ribosomal RNA", at positions 355 to 900 of the family's 1533-position model. The record is from RNAcentral.